Molecule: ribosomal RNA, 261 nt
Filed under: Bacillus amyloliquefaciens
Lineage: Bacteria; Bacillati; Bacillota; Bacilli; Caryophanales; Bacillaceae
Also listed under: 7 other names
Description: partial 16S ribosomal RNA
Rfam family: Bacterial small subunit ribosomal RNA
Source: RNAcentral
UUAUCGGAGAGUUUGAUCCUGGCUCAGGACGAACGCUGGCGGCGUGCCUAAUACAUGCAAGUCGAGCGGACAGAUGGGAGCUUGCUCCCUGAUGUUAGCGGCGGACGGGUGAGUAACACGUGGGUAACCUGCCUGUAAGACUGGGAUAACUCCGGGAAACCGGGGCUAAUACCGGAUGGUUGUCUGAACCGCAUGGUUCAGACAUAAAAGGUGGCUUCGGCUACCACUUACAGAUGGACCCGCGGCGCAUUAGCUAGUUGG